CUUCUUAUUUUAGGUUAUGUUUUUUGCAGCAGUGUUGAAAGAACUGUCUGAAAUAAAGUGUGUAUUCCUUGUAGUGUGUGUGUGUGUGUGUGUGUGUGUGUGUGUGUGUGUGUGUGUGUGUGUGUGUGUGUGUGUGUGUGUGUGUGUGUGUGUGUGUGUGUGUGUGUGCGCGUGCACGUGUGCGUGACUGAGUGCAGAGUUUUUUCUCUCAAUAGGGAGACCCUGGUUUGAUCCUCUCGGCGGGUCCAUUCGGACAGAUGGGAGAACCGGGCUCGCCUGGACUUCCAGGUGUUCCUGGCAGUCAAGGCCUUCCGGGACUAGCAGGCCCAACAGGACCACCCGGACCCCCAGGCUUUCAGGGGAGGCCUGGACCACCGGGGCCUCCAGGGCCCAAGGGUAACAUGGGCCUGAACUUCCAAGGAGAGAAGGGGAAGAAGGUAGGAACGGCGCUGUUGCGCAGCCCACUCGGCGCUCACAUUCUCACGUGCGCCGUUGUAACCGAUGCUGCUUUGUGCGUCUUCAUGUACGUGCAGGGUGAACAAGGAAUGCGUGGGCAACCGGGGCCCCCCGGCCUCAUUCGUGAGCAGAAGCAAGCGAGGGAUUCGGAGGUGCGGAGGGGAAACAAGGUGUGUCGAUUCAAAACUGCCGCAUGUAUUAACUGA
RNAcentral lists this long non-coding RNA (662 nucleotides) under Scleropages formosus (Asian bonytongue). RNAcentral describes it as "lncRNA (ENSSFOG00015029730.1)". The record is from RNAcentral. Lineage: Eukaryota; Metazoa; Chordata; Actinopteri; Osteoglossiformes; Osteoglossidae.